RNAcentral lists this ribosomal RNA (1485 nucleotides) under Staphylococcus aureus. RNAcentral's name for it is "partial 23S ribosomal RNA". It matches the Rfam family "Bacterial large subunit ribosomal RNA", at positions 1341 to 2821 of the family's 2925-position model. Lineage: Bacteria; Bacillati; Bacillota; Bacilli; Caryophanales; Staphylococcaceae. The record is from RNAcentral.
UUGACUAAGGUUUCCAGAGGAAGGCUCGUCCGCUCUGGGUUAGUCGGGUCCUAAGCUGAGGCCGACAGGCGUAGGCGAUGGAUAACAGGUUGAUAUUCCUGUACCACCUAUAAUCGUUUUAAUCGAUGGGGGGACGCAGUAGGAUAGGCGAAGCGUGCGAUUGGAUUGCACGUCUAAGCAGUAAGGCUGAGUAUUAGGCAAAUCCGGUACUCGUUAAGGCUGAGCUGUGAUGGGGAGAAGACAUUGAGUCUUCGAGUCGUUGAUUUCACACUGCCGAGAAAAGCCUCUAGAUAGAAAAUAGGUGCCCGUACCGCAAACCGACACAGGUAGUCAAGAUGAGAAUUCUAAGGUGAGCGAGCGAACUCUCGUUAAGGAACUCGGCAAAAUGACCCCGUAACUUCGGGAGAAGGGGUGCUCUUUAGGGUUAACGCCCAGAAGAGCCGCAGUGAAUAGGCCCAAGCGACUGUUUAUCAAAAACACAGGUCUCUGCUAAACCGUAAGGUGAUGUAUAGGGGCUGACGCCUGCCCGGUGCUGGAAGGUUAAGAGGAGUGGUUAGCUUCUGCGAAGCUACGAAUCGAAGCCCCAGUAAACGGCGGCCGUAACUAUAACGGUCCUAAGGUAGCGAAAUUCCUUGUCGGGUAAGUUCCGACCCGCACGAAAGGCGUAACGAUUUGGGCACUGUCUCAACGAGAGACUCGGUGAAAUCAUAGUACCUGUGAAGAUGCAGGUUACCCGCGACAGGACGGAAAGACCCCGUGGAGCUUUACUGUAGCCUGAUAUUGAAAUUCGGCACAGCUUGUACAGGAUAGGUAGGAGCCUUUGAAACGUGAGCGCUAGCUUACGUGGAGGCGCUGGUGGGAUACUACCCUAGCUGUGUUGGCUUUCUAACCCGCACCACUUAUCGUGGUGGGAGACAGUGUCAGGCGGGCAGUUUGACUGGGGCGGUCGCCUCCUAAAAGGUAACGGAGGCGCUCAAAGGUUCCCUCAGAAUGGUUGGAAAUCAUUCAUAGAGUGUAAAGGCAUAAGGGAGCUUGACUGCGAGACCUACAAGUCGAGCAGGGUCGAAAGACGGACUUAGUGAUCCGGUGGUUCCGCAUGGAAGGGCCAUCGCUCAACGGAUAAAAGCUACCCCGGGGAUAACAGGCUUAUCUCCCCCAAGAGUUCACAUCGACGGGGAGGUUUGGCACCUCGAUGUCGGCUCAUCGCAUCCUGGGGCUGUAGUCGGUCCCAAGGGUUGGGCUGUUCGCCCAUUAAAGCGGUACGCGAGCUGGGUUCAGAACGUCGUGAGACAGUUCGGUCCCUAUCCGUCGUGGGCGUAGGAAAUUUGAGAGGAGCUGUCCUUAGUACGAGAGGACCGGGAUGGACAUACCUCUGGUGUACCAGUUGUCGUGCCAACGGCAUAGCUGGGUAGCUAUGUGUGGACGGGAUAAGUGCUGAAAGCAUCUAAGCAUGAAGCCCCCCUCAAGAUGAGAUUUCCCAACUUC